This is a small nucleolar RNA of Tachyglossus aculeatus (Australian echidna), 196 nucleotides long. RefSeq annotates it as small nucleolar RNA SNORA73 family. The record is from RefSeq and is a predicted model, not a curated record. The transcript has a single exon. Lineage: Eukaryota; Metazoa; Chordata; Mammalia; Monotremata; Tachyglossidae.
CCAACGGGGAUGCCCGGAGGGGGUUGCCACCCUCCCUGGCUCUGUCCAAGUGGCAUAUGGGAGUGUAGGGCUCGCCCCUCGACGUACAGGCCCGUUCCGCUCUGUUGGAGAUCAAGCCGGGCCUCGUGUCUGUGCCUGCAUAUUCCUACUGCUUCUCUGAGUCCCCGGGCCUUGUAGAGAAGGAAUGUGUCUAUUU